This 293-nucleotide ribosomal RNA is filed under the name uncultured bacterium. RNAcentral's name for it is "partial 16S ribosomal RNA". It matches the Rfam family "Bacterial small subunit ribosomal RNA", at positions 505 to 796 of the family's 1533-position model. The record is from RNAcentral.
GUGCCAGCAGCCGCGGUAACACGUAGGGGGCGAGCGUUGUCCGGAUUUAUUGGGCGUAAAGAGCUCGUAGGCGGUUUCGUAAGUCGGAUGUGAAAACUCCAGGCUCAACUUGGAGACGCCAUUCGAUACUGCGAUGACUUGAGUCCGGUAGGGGAGUGUGGAAUUCCUGGUGUAGCGGUGAAAUGCGCAGAUAUCAGGAGGAACACCGGCGGCGAAGGCGGCACUCUGGGCCGGUACUGACGCUGAGGAGCGAAAGCGUGGGUAGCAAACAGGAUUAGAUACCCUGGUAGUCC